CCCAGGGUGACAGCUGGUGUCUCCCGUCUGCAUCCACGACUGGGGGCCCCGGGAGACCCUGGCGACCCCCGAGGGAGGCCCCUGUGGGCGCUGACCCCAGGGACGAGACGGAGCUGGCCGCGCAGCGAGCCUUAUCAGGGCCUUUGCCUCCGCAGCGACCUGGUGGCCGCGGUCCCCUGGAGACCUGCGUCCCGGGCGCGUCCCCUGUGGACAUCGAGCGCGAGACGACAGCUGCGUCCCCAAGUCGCCGCCGCGGAGCCAGGUCCAGUCAUGGCGGCUCUGUGGGCGUCAGCGUGGCUCUUGAUGCUCCUCCGUCCGGCGCUGGGUGAAGGGCAGCAGCCCCUGGCCGGGGACAAGGCCUCUCCUGUCGUCAACCUGAAGCUCGAUGCGCGGAAGAAACUGCUGACGUGGCGUUACAGCCGAGAGGUGACCCAGCACUCCUGCAGGAUCGUCACCCCCCUGGCCCCGGCCACCAGCACCACCCCUCGGGUGACCGCUGACCUCGCCUACAGGUGCGCCUUCC
Molecule: long non-coding RNA, 523 nt
Filed under: Urocitellus parryii (Arctic ground squirrel)
Lineage: Eukaryota; Metazoa; Chordata; Mammalia; Rodentia; Sciuridae
Description: lncRNA (ENSUPAG00010018811.1)
Source: RNAcentral